UCCCAGACUCCUACGGGAGGCAGCAGUGGGGAAUAUUGGGCAAUGGGCGAAAGCCUGACCCAGCAACGCCGCGUGAAGGAAGAAGGCUUUCGGGUUGUAAACUUCUUUUGACAGGGAAGAGCAGAAGACGGUACCUGUCGAAUAAGCCACGGCUAACUACGUGCCAGCAGCCGCGGUAAUACGUAGGUGGCAAGCGUCGUCCGGAUUUACUGGGUGUAAAGGGCGUGUAGCCGGGAAGGCAAGUCAGAUGUGAAAUCUGGAGGCUCAACCUCCAAAUUGCAUUUGAAACUGUUUUUCUUGAGUACUGGAGAGGCAGACGGAAUUCCUUGUGUAGCGGUGAAAUGCGUAGAUAUAAGGAGGAACACCAGUGGCGAAGGCGGUCUGCUGGACAGCAACUGACGGUGAGGCGCGAAAGCGUGGGGAGCAAACAGGAUUAGAUACCCGCGUAU
This 449-nucleotide ribosomal RNA is filed under the name uncultured bacterium. RNAcentral's name for it is "bacterial SSU rRNA". It matches the Rfam family "Bacterial small subunit ribosomal RNA", at positions 329 to 793 of the family's 1533-position model. The record is from RNAcentral.